GAUGAAGAACGUAGCGAAAUGCGAUACGUAAUGUGAAUUGCAAAUUCAGUGAAUCAUCGAGUCUUUGAACGCACAUUGCGCCCCCUGGUAUUCCGGGGGGCAUGCCUGUCCGAGCGUCAUUGCUGCCCUCAAGCACGGCUUGUGUGUUGGGCCCCGUCCUCCGAUCCCGGGGGACGGGCCCGAAAGGCAGCGGCGGCACCGCGUCCGGUCCUCGAGCGUAUGGGGCUUUGUCACCCGCUCUGUAGGCCCGGCCGGCGCUGGCCGAUCAACCCAAAUUUUUAUCCAGGUUGACCUCGGAUCAGGUAGGGAUACCCGCUGAACUUAAGCAUAUCAAUAAGCGGAGGA
RNAcentral lists this unclassified non-coding RNA (345 nucleotides) under soil metagenome. Its description in RNAcentral is "partial contains 5.8S ribosomal RNA, internal transcribed spacer 2, and large subunit ribosomal RNA". The stretch from base 1 to 119 matches the Rfam family "5.8S ribosomal RNA", at positions 35 to 154 of the family's 154-position model. The record is from RNAcentral.